This 476-nucleotide ribosomal RNA is filed under the name uncultured bacterium. RNAcentral describes it as "bacterial SSU rRNA". It matches the Rfam family "Bacterial small subunit ribosomal RNA", at positions 34 to 518 of the family's 1533-position model. The record is from RNAcentral.
CGCUAGCGACAGGCUUAACACAUGCAAGUCGAGGGGUAACAGGGUAGCAAUACCGCUGACGACCGGCGCACGGGUGAGUAACGCGUAUGCAACCUGCCUAUAACUGGGGGAAUAGCUCCCUGAAAGGGGAAUUAACACCGCAUAACACUAUUGAUUCGCAUGGAUUAGUAGUUAAAUGUAGCGAUACAGGUUAUAGAUGGGCAUGCGUGACAUUAGCUAGUUGGUGAGGUAACGGCUCACCAAGGCUACGAUGUCUAGGGGUUCUGAGAGGAAGGUCCCCCCACACUGGUACUGAGACACGGACCAGACUCCUACGGGAGGCAGCAGUGAGGAAUAUUGGGCAAUGGAGGAAACUCCUUACCCAGCAAUGCCGCGUGAGUGAAGAAGGUCUUCGGAUUGUAAAGCUCUUUGAUUGGGGACGAAUAAAUGACGGUACCCAAGGAACAAGCCCCGGCUAACUAUGUGCCAGCAGCCGC